UUUAACCUGACCAAACUAAAAAGAUUUUCAAGGCAAUCUUGAGUAAGACGACUUGUCAAAAGGAACUUGUAUCCCAUUGAAAGCAACUCCUCUUGGAUACCAAGAACACUGUUUGUAGACAUUAUAAUCCCUGCUUGCACGGGUUUCCAGUCAUUUUUAUCUCCAAUUUUCAUGCUCUGUACUAAGUUGAUAAUAGACAUAAGAAAUAGUAGAGCUUCUUCAUAUUUAUCACAAUUCAAUCUGCUUAGUGCAACUGCAGGGUACCUGCUUGUCAUGAAAUCAAACCACCGGUUAAACACAUCCAGAAACCAAGCAGUAGAAAGAUAUUCGUUUCCUCUGCCUUCUUCUUUCACAAGGUAUUGAAGUCCAGAGCUCACUGACUUACUAAACAGAUGCGGUGCAUGUGAUACUUUCAUUUUCUCAAAAUGUGAUGGAGAAAUAGUGGCGUUAGUUAGCUUUGGUGCUAAUUUUAAAUCAUGAUGGUUCUCAAACUCUACUAGAUCUUUUACAGGUGUAAUGGACACAAAAUUACAGUUCAAGUUGUUUGCUUUAACAACAUCAUCAGGUGAGGAACAUCAGCGAGAAAAUAUAACCAUUUGGUUGGACUUUGAGGAUGUACUACUUUGCUAACAGUAUUGCAGUGUCUUCCAGUAAUGAGGCCAAAGCUUCUCCACAGUGCUCAGUUUGCAGAUCCCAUGUCACUAGUCACAGCUAUGACAUAGUUCCGUCAGUGGAGUUUCCUGUGAAAUGGUAUGCUACUGUCUGUUUCCACCGUGAUGACAGUCCUCCCAACAUAAACACAAGAGCAUGAGUGGCAGUACCACAAUGACCAGGCAAAAUCACAUUCCCAAGCAAUUGUCCACUACUUGCAUCAUACUCAAUACUAGGUGUAAUGGACAUUUCAUCUAAUGUGAGACAGCAGACUCUUUCCUCUUCACACAAAUCAUUUACCUUCACUGCUAAGUAUUCAAAAACUUGGUUGAGUAUGCCGGGCUCAAAUAGAACUGUUUCCAUCCGUCAUUGAAGAGUUCGAAGAGAUGGUAAAGGAAACUGCUGUUUUAAAAAUGACCACCGAAUUCCUCGCAUUCCUCGGGACAAUGCUAGCAGCUGAUCUUCAGCAAAAAGUUUUUUAAUCUUUGAUUCCUGACUUGCCAUUUGCUUAGUAAGUGCAUUAUUUCUUCUUGUAAUUUUAUGCAGUUUGGCUCUUGAAACUUGUAAUUUGGCUUUCAAUUUUACGACUUCUCUAGCUGUUGUAGAGGAAUCAAUUGAAAGGGUAUUAGAUUCAUCCACAUCUAUCUCUAGAUCUGCCACACUGGUUUCAUAUGCUACAGAGUCAUGUCGAGUUGUUUCAUCAUCAUUGGAAUUAUGUUCAGCUGUACAUUAAUCAAUUGAGGUAGAUUAGUUAACUUGCAUUAAUUGUACUUGGUUCUUCAUAGUAGUAAUUUAAACAAUUGAAAAAUGAAAAACAAUCCCAAGAUUGAAGAAACUUCUACUAAACUUUGAAAUUAUGUCUACAUGUGUGCCUGUUGUCAUUAUUGCGUGUGUGUUCUAUCAUGUGUAAUUUGCAGUUUUCUUUGUAGUUUUAUAAAUAUAGUACAGUUGAUUGAGAUGUUAUUAAUUAA
This is a long non-coding RNA of Corticium candelabrum, 1622 nucleotides long. RefSeq lists it as uncharacterized. NCBI's taxonomy places the organism in Eukaryota, Metazoa, Porifera, Homoscleromorpha, Homosclerophorida, Plakinidae. The record is from RefSeq and is a predicted model, not a curated record. The transcript is spliced from 4 exons.